This 268-nucleotide long non-coding RNA is filed under the name Ricinus communis (castor bean). RNAcentral's name for it is "long non-coding RNA (RCOM_LNC001276)". The record is from RNAcentral. Lineage: Eukaryota; Viridiplantae; Streptophyta; Magnoliopsida; Malpighiales; Euphorbiaceae.
AACAAGGAAUCUUACUUUAACUAGGAUUCAAGAUCCACUUCACAUCCAUGGAGGCCAAUUACAAGGUUUAAGGCUAAGAAAAUGAAAGAAGCUCUCAGUAGGCUUAUUCAAGACGUUUGGGCUAAGGACACAUCAAGGCUUGAAGAGUUGGAUUCAAAUUUAAGGCUCAUUAAGCUAAUUCAAUUUAUUGGGCUUGAAUGAAUAUAAUAUGGGCUUAAUGAGCAUAAAGGAGCACAUAAGAGAGUUCGGGCCUAAUUAGCUUCACCAA